Molecule: ribosomal RNA, 449 nt
Filed under: uncultured bacterium
Lineage: Bacteria
Description: partial 16S ribosomal RNA
Rfam family: Bacterial small subunit ribosomal RNA
Source: RNAcentral
AUUGAACGCUGGCGGCAUGCCUUACACAUGCAAGUCGAACGAAGUCUUCGGACUUAGUGGCGGACGGGUGAGUAACACGUGGGAACGUGCCUUUAGGUUCGGAAUAACUCAGGGAAACUUGUGCUAAUACCGAAUGUGCCCUUCGGGGGAAAGAUUUAUCGCCUUUAGAGCGGCCCGCGUCUGAUUAGCUAGUUGGUGAGGUAAAGGCUCACCAAGGCGACGAUCAGUAGCUGGUCUGAGAGGAUGAUCAGCCACAUUGGGACUGAGACACGGCCCAAACUCCUACGGGAGGCAGCAGUGGGGAAUCUUGCGCAAUGGGCGAAAGCCUGACGCAGCCAUGCCGCGUGAAUGAUGAAGGUCUUAGGAUUGUAAAAUUCUUUCACCGGGGACGAUAAUGACGGUACCCGGAGAAGAAGCCCCGGCUAACUUCGUGCCAGCAGCCGCCGUAA